RNAcentral lists this ribosomal RNA (494 nucleotides) under uncultured bacterium. RNAcentral describes it as "bacterial SSU rRNA". It matches the Rfam family "Bacterial small subunit ribosomal RNA", at positions 30 to 521 of the family's 1533-position model. The record is from RNAcentral.
AUUGAACGCUGGCGGCAUGCCUUACACAUGCAAGUCGAACGGUAACAGGUCUUCGGAUGCUGACGAGUGGCGAACGGGUGAGUAAUACAUCGGAACGUGCCCGAUCGUGGGGGAUAACGGAGCGAAAGCUUUGCUAAUACCGCAUACGAUCUACGGAUGAAAGCAGGGGACCGCAAGGCCUUGCGCGGACGGAGCGGCCGAUGGCAGAUUAGGUAGUUGGUGGGAUAAAAGCUUACCAAGCCGACGAUCUGUAGCUGGUCUGAGAGGACGACCAGCCACACUGGGACUGAGACACGGCCCAGACUCCUACGGGAGGCAGCAGUGGGGAAUUUUGGACAAUGGGCGCAAGCCUGAUCCAGCCAUGCCGCGUGCAGGAUGAAGGCCUUCGGGUUGUAACUGCUUUUGUACGGAACGAAAGACUCUUUCUAAUAAAGAGGGUCCAUGACGGUACCGUAAGAAUAAGCACCGGCUAACUACGUGCCAGCAGCCGCGGU